CUACGGGUGGCAGCAGUGGGGAAUAUUGCACAAUGGGGGGAACCCUGAUGCAGCAACGCCGCGUGGAGGAUGACACAUUUCGGUGCGUAAACUCCUUUUAUAUAAGAAGAUAAUGACGGUAUUAUAUGAAUAAGCACCGGCUAACUCCGUGCCAGCAGCCGCGGUAAUACGGGGGGUGCAAGCGUUACUCGGAAUCACUGGGCGUAAAGAGCAUGUAGGCUGGUUAGUAAGUUGGAAGUGAAAUCCUAUGGCUUAACCAUAGAACUGCUUCCAAAACUACUAACCUAGAAUAUGGGAGAGGUAGAUGGAAUUUCUGGUGUAGGGGUAAAAUCCGUAGAGAUCAGAAGGAAUACCGAUUGCGAAGGCGAUCUACUGGAACAUUAUUGACGCUCAGAUGCGAAAGCGUGGGGAGCAAACAGGAUUAGAUACCCUAGUAGUC
This 439-nucleotide ribosomal RNA is filed under the name uncultured bacterium. RNAcentral's name for it is "partial 16S ribosomal RNA". It matches the Rfam family "Bacterial small subunit ribosomal RNA", at positions 339 to 795 of the family's 1533-position model. The record is from RNAcentral.